GUUUAGUUUAAAACCAAAACAGAGACCCAUAAUUUAAUUCUUUGUUCCAUGAAAGUGUUGUCUAAGUUGAGGAAAGGAAAAAAUGUGUGACAUAACAAAAAGUUAAGGAUAUGUUGCUGUUGUCACAACGACCACCAGUUCUUCAUCUCCCUUGCAAUGGUUGGAAAUAUUUUCUACUCUUCAUUUUUUUUUUCUUAUCU
RNAcentral lists this long non-coding RNA (200 nucleotides) under Trifolium pratense (red clover). RNAcentral's name for it is "long non-coding RNA (TPRA_LNC000160)". Lineage: Eukaryota; Viridiplantae; Streptophyta; Magnoliopsida; Fabales; Fabaceae. The record is from RNAcentral.